This is a long non-coding RNA of Xiphophorus hellerii (green swordtail), 3019 nucleotides long. RefSeq lists it as uncharacterized. The record is from RefSeq and is a predicted model, not a curated record. Lineage: Eukaryota; Metazoa; Chordata; Actinopteri; Cyprinodontiformes; Poeciliidae. The transcript is spliced from 2 exons.
AACACCGGAAGAACAUGGCUCUAGUGCAAUAUUAUAUUUAUUUCUUACAGUGACUUUUGGUUGCCAUACAAGAAACCUUGAGGAAUUGAAGGGGGGGGAAGUAGAGUGCUUUUACAGGAAAUUUCUCUCUUUUCGUUUCAGUAAUUAGACUCUAUGAUGAUUCAGUAGCACAAAAUUACAGCAACAUAGAAAACAUGAACACAAGUCUUCUGCACAAAUUACCAAAAACAUCUUAGUCUCUAUGAAGACUUAAAGAAUAAAAUCUAUUCAUGGGAAAUUAAAGGAAGAGAAACUAAAAGUUACCUGAAUGCUUGACGAUGAUGAAGGUGGGAGAAGUGGGGGGGGUGGGGGUGAUGAAGAUUCCUACUAAAUCUACUCUGCUCUACGUUUCCACAGAGAAAACUGCAGCCACCGCUUAUCGUUUAAGGUGGAUUUAUUUUGACACACAAAGGUUUUCAUACAGGUUUCUACGGGCGCGGCCUGCAGGGUCAGGGGUCAAAAUGUACACGCUUCCCUCAGUUUCUACACGCUCUGCGCUGAGGGGGGCGCUCUACUCAGGCAGAUGGUGUUCGUCAGAAAACACUUGAUUGGCCAGAAAUAUCUUAAAUCUACUGCAGCAGAGUGUUUUCUACUUUAGGCAACACGUCAUUAAAACACUGAUGGGUGAGAAGAUGGAAAAAAUAAAACACAACCAAGGAGAUUCAUUCAGAAUAAAUAUUGCUUCUUACAUAACCCAUAAAUCUAAUAAUAAUAAUCAUAAUAAUAAUAAUCCACAUUUUAAUCUACGUAUAUAUUAUUUCUGUUUUUGGCAAUCCAAGCAUCAGUGUUGAACAGUAUUUGUUCAUAAUACCUCUAUAAAAUUUCAUAGAACUCUAUACAAAUCUUUAAAAAUACUGUGCUUUUCUACCCCCUCCAGCACGCCGCUGUGAGUUUGAAAACAGGAUUAUAGCAGCAUUGUCCCUCGCCAGCCACCGUACGGCUGAUGUUCACAGAACACACGGGUUGUGGAUGUCUGUCUCCUGAAGAAAAGCUGCGAGAUGGAGCCGACGAAGACGGGUCAGAGCGGGGCGUGCUCGGAUGGAGGAGCUGGGUGGAGGAAGGGAGCAGCAAGCUUUUUAAGGCAUCCUCUGCCGGAUGACGCACAGGGCGGGGCGCGGGCCGGGGGCGGCUGGGGCUUUGGUCAUCGGGUCGGCCCUGCAGCUAUAGAUCUACCCUCAUAGACUUCCUUCUUCACCGUUUAUACACAGACUCAAAUAGACAUUUUUAUCCCGUUAAACACUCUUAUAUACAAACACAACAACCUUCAGCUUCAUAAAUAUGAUUAAACUCCAAACUCCAGCCGAGUUUCAGAGAAUCAUUUCUGACCUCACAGGGAGAGGAAACGUCAGGCGGAUCAGGAAUCCAGACUCAAGGCUCAAUUUGAAUCCAACUGAAAACAACUGGCAGGACAUUUUAAAGACGUCCUGCUUGUCUUCUUAUUUUUAAUGUCACUUUUAAUAAACCUUCAGGUCCAGGUAGUCAGUUAUUAAUCUCUAAUCUGACAGCAGUGCACAAACGUUUCAGUCAUUUUGUGAAAUAAAAAUAUUAUUUUUCUCUUCUAAAAUGUUUUUGUAUGUGCUUAAAAUAUUUUUUAUAUUAAGUUUUAUUAUUUAAAUCUGUCACAAGCUGAUAUUGUGUCCAACAGAACUGGAUCCAAAUGCAACAUUUUGGGAAAUACACACUUUGGUCUGAUUGGAUCUUUGUAGACAAACUGGUUUCUUUAGUGAAAUGACUUGAUGUUAAACCUGAAAAAUGUCUGAGUUAGCUUUUGAAUUUAGACAUAUUUUUAUGUUUGUUUUACACAAGAACAAUAAACUCAUGAUUUUUGUCAUUUUUACUUUGACUUACUGUAGAAUGUUAAUAGUUAACACUUUGUGCAUUAUAACCCUUUUUCUCUUUUAAUUCUUAUAUUUUUACUUAAUAGAACAAUUUUCAGGAUCAGUUAAACAACUGAGAUUUUCUUAAAUCACAGUUGUUUAACUGUUAACUGUUGUUUAAAUGUUAAAUAUUUUCCCCCUAUAAAGUGUGUAAAAUGUUUAAUCAUAAACAGUAAUAAUUAUAAUCAUUGAUUAUGUGUAAUUAACAUUGAUAGAGUCGGUCAUAUAAGACCAAACCAAACUGAUUAUGUUGACAUGUUAAUGUAGCGCAGCGAUCAGGAACAAAACUGCGGUGGAACAUGAAUAAAAAACCUGUCAUUUUUUAAUCCUUUCAUUUCAUUAAGGUAUAUGGCAGUUAUUUAUUUUGUGUCGGAAAAGUAACUUUUUGUCUGUUGAAAUUCAGUUUUAACCUCAGCAUGUUUUGUAGUUGAAAAACACAUUGAAUAGCUUAGCUUAUUUUAGCCUAAACAAAAUGUCCCUUUACAUACAGAAGAUUAAUACUGAUGAAAUGUUUUAGUUGGCAAAAUCACCAAAAACAACAAAAAGUUACUUCAUCAAAUGAAUUCAACCACUGCCAUAUUUUAUAAAAAAAACAUUUCUAACUAGACAGAUAAGAUGUUAAAUUAGCUUCGGCAGCUAAAUUAGCUUCGGCAGCUAAAUUAGCUUCGGCAGCUGUGAGUCCAGUUUGUUUCUCUUUAUCUCAUCAGCAGACAAGAACCUGGUGAUUAUUAUUCAGCAACAUGUAUUGUUGUGUUUUAUACUUAGUGAACACGUAGCCAAAUAUAUAGGAAACAAGUUCAUUUUUAUAUGUUUUAACCUUGCAUCCACACAAAAACAAACUCUAUGAUGAAAACUCCUGUGGAUUACAGAUUGUGAUCAAUAAUGUGUCGAUAUAUUAACGUUCUUGCUUUUAUACAAUUCCCAAAAUAAAUUGUCUUGUAUUUUAUAAACAUCGUUUACUCCAUUUAUCGGUCCUCAUAAAAUGAACCUGCUGGCGCCAUGUUUAAUUCCUAACAGGAAGUUGUGGCUGUUGUGAAGCUUCUGAUUGGCUGACAUUGGUUUCAGCUUUGUGCUACACCGCCCCCUAUGGGUCUGGCAUGUUU